AGCGAACGCUGGCGGCAGGCUUAACACAUGCAAGUCGAGCGGACAUCCUUGUGGUGUCCGCGGCAGACGGGUGAGUCACGCGUGGGAACGUGCCCUUCGGUUCGGAAUAACUCAGGGAAACUUGAGCUAAUACCGGAUACGUGCGAGAGCAGAAAGGUUUGACUGCCGAAGGUUCGGCCCGCGUCUGAUUAGCUAGGUGGGGUGGUUACGGCUCCUCAAGGCGAGGAUCAGUAGCUGGUCUGAGAGGAUGACCAGCCACACCUGCCCGGGGAAACGGCCGAGACUCCUACGGGAGGCAGCAGUGGGGAAUAUUGGAAAAUGGGGGCAGCCCUGAACCAGCCAGGCCGCGUGAGUGAUGUCGGCCGUAAGGUUGUAAAGCUCUUUUCUCCGGGACGAUAAUGACGGUACCGGAGGAAUAAGCCCCGGCUAACUUCGUG
This 437-nucleotide ribosomal RNA is filed under the name uncultured bacterium. RNAcentral's name for it is "partial 16S ribosomal RNA". It matches the Rfam family "Bacterial small subunit ribosomal RNA", at positions 29 to 507 of the family's 1533-position model. The record is from RNAcentral.